This 2906-nucleotide ribosomal RNA is filed under the name Escherichia coli HVH 154 (4-5636698). Its description in RNAcentral is "bacterial LSU rRNA". It matches the Rfam family "Bacterial large subunit ribosomal RNA". Lineage: Bacteria; Pseudomonadati; Pseudomonadota; Gammaproteobacteria; Enterobacterales; Enterobacteriaceae. The record is from RNAcentral.
UUAAGCGACUAAGCGUACACGGUGGAUGCCCUGGCAGUCAGAGGCGAUGAAGGACGUGCUAAUCUGCGAUAAGCGUCGGUGAGGUGAUAUGAACCGUUAUAACCGGCGAUUUCCGAAUGGGGAAACCCAGUGUGUUUCGACACACUAUCAUUAACUGAAUCCAUAGGUUAAUGAGGCGAACCGGGGGAACUGAAACAUCUAAGUACCCCGAGGAAAAGAAAUCAACCGAGAUUCCCCCAGUAGCGGCGAGCGAACGGGGAGCAGCCCAGAGCCUGAAUCAGUGUGUGUGUUAGUGGAAGCGUCUGGAAAGGCGCGCGAUACAGGGUGACAGCCCCGUACACAAAAAUGCACAUGCUGUGAGCUCGAUGAGUAGGGCGGGACACGUGGUAUCCUGUCUGAAUAUGGGGGGACCAUCCUCCAAGGCUAAAUACUCCUGACUGACCGAUAGUGAACCAGUACCGUGAGGGAAAGGCGAAAAGAACCCCGGCGAGGGGAGUGAAAAAGAACCUGAAACCGUGUACGUACAAGCAGUGGGAGCACAGAGCAAUCUGUGUGACUGCGUACCUUUUGUAUAAUGGGUCAGCGACUUAUAUUCUGUAGCAAGGUUAACCGAAUAGGGGAGCCGAAGGGAAACCGAGUCUUAACUGGGCGUUAAGUUGCAGGGUAUAGACCCGAAACCCGGUGAUCUAGCCAUGGGCAGGUUGAAGGUUGGGUAACACUAACUGGAGGACCGAACCGACUAAUGUUGAAAAAUUAGCGGAUGACUUGUGGCUGGGGGUGAAAGGCCAAUCAAACCGGGAGAUAGCUGGUUCUCCCCGAAAGCUAUUUAGGUAGCGCCUCGUGAAUUCAUCUCCGGGGGUAGAGCACUGUUUCGGCAAGGGGGUCAUCCCGACUUACCAACCCGAUGCAAACUGCGAAUACCGGAGAAUGUUAUCACGGGAGACACACGGCGGGUGCUAACGUCCGUCGUGAAGAGGGAAACAACCCAGACCGCCAGCUAAGGUCCCAAAGUCAUGGUUAAGUGGGAAACGAUGUGGGAAGGCCCAGACAGCCAGGAUGUUGGCUUAGAAGCAGCCAUCAUUUAAAGAAAGCGUAAUAGCUCACUGGUCGAGUCGGCCUGCGCGGAAGAUGUAACGGGGCUAAACCAUGCACCGAAGCUGCGGCAGCGACGCUUAUGCGUUGUUGGGUAGGGGAGCGUUCUGUAAGCCUGCGAAGGUGUGCUGUGAGGCAUGCUGGAGGUAUCAGAAGUGCGAAUGCUGACAUAAGUAACGAUAAAGCGGGUGAAAAGCCCGCUCGCCGGAAGACCAAGGGUUCCUGUCCAACGUUAAUCGGGGCAGGGUGAGUCGACCCCUAAGGCGAGGCCGAAAGGCGUAGUCGAUGGGAAACAGGUUAAUAUUCCUGUACUUGGUGUUACUGCGAAGGGGGGACGGAGAAGGCUAUGUUGGCCGGGCGACGGUUGUCCCGGUUUAAGCGUGUAGGCUGGUUUUCCAGGCAAAUCCGGAAAAUCAAGGCUGAGGCGUGAUGACGAGGCACUACGGUGCUGAAGCAACAAAUGCCCUGCUUCCAGGAAAAGCCUCUAAGCAUCAGGUAACAUCAAAUCGUACCCCAAACCGACACAGGUGGUCAGGUAGAGAAUACCAAGGCGCUUGAGAGAACUCGGGUGAAGGAACUAGGCAAAAUGGUGCCGUAACUUCGGGAGAAGGCACGCUGAUAUGUAGGUGAGGUCCCUCGCGGAUGGAGCUGAAAUCAGUCGAAGAUACCAGCUGGCUGCAACUGUUUAUUAAAAACACAGCACUGUGCAAACACGAAAGUGGACGUAUACGGUGUGACGCCUGCCCGGUGCCGGAAGGUUAAUUGAUGGGGUUAGCGGUAACGCGAAGCUCUUGAUCGAAGCCCCGGUAAACGGCGGCCGUAACUAUAACGGUCCUAAGGUAGCGAAAUUCCUUGUCGGGUAAGUUCCGACCUGCACGAAUGGCGUAAUGAUGGCCAGGCUGUCUCCACCCGAGACUCAGUGAAAUUGAACUCGCUGUGAAGAUGCAGUGUACCCGCGGCAAGACGGAAAGACCCCGUGAACCUUUACUAUAGCUUGACACUGAACAUUGAGCCUUGAUGUGUAGGAUAGGUGGGAGGCUUUGAAGUGUGGACGCCAGUCUGCAUGGAGCCGGCCUUGAAAUACCACCCUUUAAUGUUUGAUGUUCUAACGUUGGCCCCUGAUCGGGGUUGCGGACAGUGUCUGGUGGGUAGUUUGACUGGGGCGGUCUCCUCCUAAAGAGUAACGGAGGAGCACGAAGGUUGGCUAAUCCUGGUCGGACAUCAGGAGGUUAGUGCAAUGGCAUAAGCCAGCUUGACUGCGAGCGUGACGGCGCGAGCAGGUGCGAAAGCAGGUCAUAGUGAUCCGGUGGUUCUGAAUGGAAGGGCCAUCGCUCAACGGAUAAAAGGUACUCCGGGGAUAACAGGCUGAUACCGCCCAAGAGUUCAUAUCGACGGCGGUGUUUGGCACCUCGAUGUCGGCUCAUCACAUCCUGGGGCUGAAGUAGGUCCCAAGGGUAUGGCUGUUCGCCAUUUAAAGUGGUACGCGAGCUGGGUUUAGAACGUCGUGAGACAGUUCGGUCCCUAUCUGCCGUGGGCGCUGGAGAACUGAGGGGGGCUGCUCCUAGUACGAGAGGACCGGAGUGGACGCAUCACUGGUGUUCGGGUUGUCAUGCCAAUGGCACUGCCCGGUAGCUAAAUGCGGAAGAGAUAAGUGCUGAAAGCAUCUAAGCACGAAACUUGCCCCGAGAUGAGUUCUCCCUGACUCCUUGAGAGUCCUGAAGGAACGUUGAAGACGACGACGUUGAUAGGCCGGGUGUGUAAGCGCAGCGAUGCGUUGAGCUAACCGGUACUAAUGAACCGUGAGGCUUAACCUU